GGGCUGCCUAGGAACAGCUGUACAUUGUUGGAAAUCCAGGGCAGGGCCAGCCCCACAGCAUGUGGGGGUUAUUUGCUUCAUUAGCACUGUCAGGCCUUGUUCAGGCCAGCCUGGGGGCUUGAUAGCUACCCUAAGUUCUGGGAACUGGGCUGACCCUGAUAAGGAUGCCUGAUGGCUGCAGAUGUCACCUCACUGUACAGUGUGGUGGCAGGGGUAGGGUGUGGGCAAAAAGAGAGGAUUUGGUGCGCUCCUGUGUGGAACUAGGAGCUGGACUUAAGCAUCCUUUUGGGUCCCUUCUAGCAUGGGAUAUUCUGUGAUUAUUUAGACAUCUAUGCAGAACUGAAACUGAAGUGAUUCCUACUGUAUUACAUACAGUCAUCACAAACUUGUACAGCUUAUUAUUUGAAUUCACUUUGUUUUGUUUUCACUGGAGCGGAACGUCCAGAGUUUUGUUCCAAGAUACUUCUGCCAGCUGGUCACAGUCAAGAUGCAUGAUCUAUCAUGACUGAAAGGUCUUCACCUGUAACAAAAGGAUGUAACGUUCAGAAAAAAUGUGUGAGAUAUGCUGCUCCUUGCUGUUGCUGUUUUGCAAGCCAGGCUAUGGCACCUGUCACAACACUGUUGUCCCAUGCCAGAGGGGACCCUAACAUAUAUCCAGAUCUGAUCAUCAUGCAAUGACUGCUGCUGAUGCAGCUGGAAGCAUCUGUUUGAGGAACUACUCCUAAAAGAUCAAAAGGUGAGUCCUGGCCUUGUUUUCAGCUUGAAAAUGUCUUUUCUUAUGAAACAAAUAGUGG
RNAcentral lists this long non-coding RNA (794 nucleotides) under Numida meleagris (helmeted guineafowl). RNAcentral's name for it is "lncRNA (ENSNMEG00000008667.1)". Lineage: Eukaryota; Metazoa; Chordata; Aves; Galliformes; Numididae. The record is from RNAcentral.